This is a long non-coding RNA of Cyprinus carpio carpio, 1178 nucleotides long. The record is from Ensembl. NCBI's taxonomy places the organism in Eukaryota, Metazoa, Chordata, Actinopteri, Cypriniformes, Cyprinidae.
CUUACUGUUCCACCAACAGACAGAAAAUCACUCAGAGUUGGGUUACUGAGUUUUUAAACCUGUAGCUUACUUUAAAUAUUUCAUACUUAAAACAAAAAGCCCUAUUUGUUACAUUAGACGGGCGAAUGACAGGAGAUCACCGGCUUCCUCUUGUGGUCAACAUCUGUAUCAUAGCAGGACUGACACUGUUGCGUUCUCAGGAGAGAAGUGCAGGAGAUCCCGGAAAUUAUGGAGCAUCAAAUGUUUGGCGCGGAUAGCGGAGGUAAUGGAAAUAAUGAAAAUAGAAGACAAGUAUCGAAUAUGUGUUUGAAUCUGACAGUGAAAAGGGAAAUCUUCUCGCAAAAAGAAGGAACAUAAGAAUAAGGGAUGUUUGAAGUGUUACUCUCAACAAACAGAAGCAUGUGGACACUGGACAGACAUUGACUGUAAUGAUGGACAUCUGCUGAAGCACAGGCAGAAGUAUAACGCCUGCUGGACAUUGUGCUGGAACUCGGGGAGGACACCAUGAUCCCCCACACCUUCUCACUCACACCAGACCAUUCACUCAUAUCACGGAGAUCUGGCUGGACUUGAACCAGCAACCUCUGAAACUAUGAGGCAGUGCUCUUACCUCUGAGCCACAGAUCUCAUGUCUGAACAUGUGCAGGAACUUAUAUUUCACUAUUCUCCCUGUCAGUUUACAAUAAACCAGUUAAAUUUUUAACCCAUCACACCACUGCAGUCCUGAUUGAUCCUGUGAGGAGAUGCUGGAGUCUGUCCCAGAGUCUCCGACCCAAAGCAGGAAAACACCCAGUCCAUCACAGAGCGAUAAUAAGGGAUGUUUGAAGUGUUACACUCAGCCAACAGAAGCAUGUGGACAGACAUUGACUGUAAUGAUGGACAUCUGCUGAAGCACAGGCAGAAGUAUAACCCCUGCUGGACAUUGUGCUGGAACUCGGGGAGGACACCAUGAUCCCCCACACCUUCUCACUCACACCAGACCAUUCACUCAUAUCACAGAGAUCUGGCUGGACUUGAACCAGCAACCUCUGAAACCAUGAGGCAGCGCUCUUACCUCUGAGCCACAGAUCUCAUGUCUGAACAUGUGGAGGAACUUAUAUUUCACUAUUCUCCCUGUCAGUUUACAAUAAACCAGUUAAAUUGUGUAAGUAAUGUGUGUAAGUAAUGUGUGUUUGCAC